UACGUAGGGUGCGAGCGUUGUCCGGAAUUACUGGGCGUAAAGAGCUCGUAGGUGGUUUGUCGCGUUGUUCGUGAAAACUCACAACUCAAUUGUGGGCGUGCGGGCGAUACGGGCAGACUGGAGUACUGCAGGGGAGACUGGAAUUCCUGGUGUAGCGGUGAAAUGCGCAGAUAUCAGGAGGAACACCGGUGGCGAAGGCGGGUCUCUGGGCCGUAACUGACGCUGAGGAGCGAAAGCGUGGGGAGCGAACAGG
RNAcentral lists this ribosomal RNA (253 nucleotides) under uncultured bacterium. RNAcentral describes it as "partial 16S ribosomal RNA". It matches the Rfam family "Bacterial small subunit ribosomal RNA", at positions 524 to 776 of the family's 1533-position model. The record is from RNAcentral.